Molecule: transfer RNA, 90 nt
Filed under: Muribaculaceae bacterium Isolate-110 (HZI)
Lineage: Bacteria; Pseudomonadati; Bacteroidota; Bacteroidia; Bacteroidales; Muribaculaceae
Description: tRNA-Ser
Rfam family: tRNA
About the family: Transfer RNA (tRNA) molecules are approximately 80 nucleotides in length.
Source: RNAcentral
GGAAAGAUGCCGGAGUGGUCGAUCGGGGCGGUCUCGAAAACCGUUGUGCCCUUGCGGGCACCCAGGGUUCGAAUCCCUGUCUUUCCGCAA